Molecule: unclassified non-coding RNA, 337 nt
Filed under: soil metagenome
Description: partial contains 5.8S ribosomal RNA, internal transcribed spacer 2, and large subunit ribosomal RNA
Rfam family: 5.8S ribosomal RNA (bases 1-120)
Source: RNAcentral
GAUGAAGAACGCAGUGAAAUGCGAUAAGUAGUGUGAAUUGCAGAAUUCAGUGAAUCAUCGAAUCUUUGAACGCACAUUGCGCCCCUUGGUAUUCCAUGGGGCAUGCCUGUUCGAGCGUCAUUUGUACCUUCAAGCUCUGCUUGGUGUUGGGUGUUUGUCUCGCCUCUGUGUGUAGACUCGCCUCAAAACAAUUGGCAGCCGGCGUAUUGAUUUCGGAGCGCAGUACAUCUCGCGCUUUGCACUCAUAACGACGACGUCCAAAAGUACAUUUUUACACUCUUGACCUCGUAUCAGGUAGGGAUACCCGCUGAACUUAAGCAUAUCAAUAAGCGGAGGA